AACGAACGCUGGCGGCAUGCCUAACACAUGCAAGUCGAACGAGACCUUCGGGUCUAGUGGCGCACGGGUGCGUAACGCGUGGUAACCUGCCCUUAGGUUCGGAAUAACUCCCCGAAAGGGGUGCUAAUACCGGAUAAUGUCUUCGGACCAAAGAUUUAUCGCCUUUGGAUGGGCCCGCGUUGGAUUAGCUAGUUGGUAGGGUAAAAGCCUACCAAGGCGACGAUCCAUAGCUGGUCUGAGAGGAUGAUCAGCCACACUGGGACUGAGACACGGCCCAGACUCCUACGGGAGGGAGCAGUGGAGAAUAUUGGACGAGGGGCGAAAGCCUGAUCAAGCCAUGCCGCGUGAGUGAUGAAGGCCUUAGGGUUGUAAAGCUCUUUUACCCGGGAUGAUAAUGACAGUACCGGGAGAAUAAGCUCCGGCUAACUCCGUG
RNAcentral lists this ribosomal RNA (433 nucleotides) under uncultured bacterium. RNAcentral describes it as "partial 16S ribosomal RNA". It matches the Rfam family "Bacterial small subunit ribosomal RNA", at positions 29 to 507 of the family's 1533-position model. The record is from RNAcentral.